Molecule: ribosomal RNA, 550 nt
Filed under: uncultured bacterium
Lineage: Bacteria
Description: bacterial SSU rRNA
Rfam family: Bacterial small subunit ribosomal RNA
Source: RNAcentral
UAGGGAAUCUUCGGCAAUGGACGGAAGUCUGACCGAGCAACGCCGCGUGAGUGAAGAAGGUUUUCGGAUCGUAAAGCUCUGUUGUAAGAGAAGAACGAGUGUGAGAGUGGAAGGUUCACACUGUGACGGUAUCUUACCAGAAAGGGACGGCUAACUACGUGCCAGCAGCCGCGGUAAUACGUAGGUCCCGAGCGUUGUCCGGGUUUAUUGGGCGUAAAGCGAGCGCAGGCGGUUAGAUAAGUCUGAAGUUAAAGGCUGUGGCUUAACCAUAGUACGCUUUGGAAACUGUUUAACUUGAGUGCAAGAGGGGAGAGUGGAAUUCCAUGUGUAGCGGUGAAAUGCGUAGAUAUAUGGAGGAACACCGGUGGCGAAAGCGGCUCUCUGGCUUGUAACUGACGCUGAGGCUCGAAAGCGUGGGGAGCAAACAGGAUUAGAUACCCUGGUAGUCCACGCCGUAAACGAUGAGUGCUAGGUGUUAGACCCUUUCCGGGGUUUAGUGCCGCAGCUAACGCAUUAAGCACUCCGCCUGGGGAGUACGACCGCAAGGUUG